This 31-nucleotide non-coding RNA is filed under the name Rattus norvegicus (Norway rat). Lineage: Eukaryota; Metazoa; Chordata; Mammalia; Rodentia; Muridae. The record is from RNAcentral.
UGCUCUGUGUUACAAUUAGGUAAACCACUUU